GACGAACGCUGGCGGCGUGCCUAAUACAUGCAAGUCGAGCGCAGGAAACUGACGGAACUCUUCGGAGGGAAGGCAGUGGAAUGAGCGGCGGACGGGUGAGUAACACGUAAGGAACCCGCCUCAAGGAUUGGGAUAACUCCGAGAAAUCGGAGCUAAUACCGGAUAGUUCAACGGACCGCAUGGUCCGCUGAUGAAAGGCGCUUCGGCGUCACCUUGAGAUGGCCUUGCGGUGCAUUAGCUAGUUGGUGGGGUAACGGCCCACCAAGGCGACGAUGCAUAGCAGACCUGACAGGGUGAUCGGCCACACUGGGACUUAGACACGGCCCAGACUCCUACGGGAGGCAGCAGUAGGGAAUCUUCCACAAUGAACGAAAGUCUGAUGGAGCAACGCCGCGUGAGUGAUGAAGGUGUUCGGAUCGUAAAACUCUGUUGUAAGGGAAGAACACGUACGAGAGGGAAUGCUCGUACCUUGACGGUACCUUACGGGAAAGCCACGGCUAACUACGUGCCAGCCGCCGCAGUAA
This 524-nucleotide ribosomal RNA is filed under the name uncultured bacterium. RNAcentral's name for it is "partial 16S ribosomal RNA". It matches the Rfam family "Bacterial small subunit ribosomal RNA", at positions 28 to 523 of the family's 1533-position model. The record is from RNAcentral.